Molecule: long non-coding RNA, 2811 nt
Organism: Astatotilapia calliptera (eastern happy)
Lineage: Eukaryota; Metazoa; Chordata; Actinopteri; Cichliformes; Cichlidae
Source: Ensembl
CUAAAAGAAAAAAUAAAAUCCUUCAGGGACCGCCGGGCAGUCCGUGCUGAUCAGCAUUUGGACCUAUUUAGCGUUCAUGAGUUUCAGCUGCUGAAGUGACACUGGGACGAGAAGAUUCUGAAGAGGGCGACAAGACAUCAAAUAUUGUCGAUGUGUCGAACAAGGACGUGACUGCAAACUGGAGAGAACAAUGACAACAUGAGUGAAGAUGGAAACGGGGUGACUUAGGAGCUCAGGUGGACUUGACUGCUGCUGCUGGAGCCUUCAGCUGGGCGCCGGUGAGAAAAGGUGACCUACGAUUUGGAUGUAUGCACCGAGGAUCGACUGAAAGAGGGACCGACCGAUCGACCUUCCUUCCUCCCCCUUUCCUCUGUCCUCCCUCACCUUCUCUCUCUCUCUUCUCCAUCUUGAGACAGGAGAUGUUCACGAACAAGUUGAAUCAGACGUGAUAACAAACUGUUCCUCACUUUGUCUUCACAGUUAAUGGAUGACGGUCAAAAAGAAAGAAAAUGGAAACUAACACGACCAAUGACAGAAAAGAAGAAAAGGUUAGAAAACAAAAGCUCUUGGAUCCAGCAGGGUGGGAGCAGCAGCUGGACGGGCAACACUCAGAUCAAGCAACACUUUUGUUUCCAUCAGCACCGCCUGAAAUUCCAGAAAGUCAAACAGGUUUAAGUAAGACACAUCCACACCCCCUGCACUCAGAACCAGUCAGAGUGGCCUAAUCCUGGGGCAAAGUAAACAGGGUGUGACCUGUGAUUGCUCUAGUAUGAAUGAAACCUUUUCUUAUUGAAUGUGAAGUUAUAAUUUUUGAAGAAACUACAUUUCUCAAAAUCUAAAGUCAUUUCUUUCCACCACAAACUCAGAAAACAAUUAUCUCAGUUUCAAAAAUUAGAAAAUCAAGGCAAACCCUAAAUACAUUUGGCAAGUUUGCACAGGUACAGGUGGAAAACAAAUUGCAAAAACAAGCAAAAAAGGUGGAGCAAGGAAAGGAAAAGAGCCCAGUCAAGUUCCAACAAGCACAGCAGGAAUAAUCUCAGUUAAAAAAAAAACAUCUAUAGCAAUGAACCAACCAGUUUAUGUCAGUAAAUGCAGGGAAAUUAUGCUUCCGCUUAAGUACACCUCCAAGAACCAGUUUUAAACCACCUUUUAGACUACGUCAGCAUAUUUGAGACUCUUUAAAGCUGCAGAAAGAGAGAGACUUAGUCAUGAUUAAACAAUGCAGGUAGAUAAAUUGUAUUCCAGCUCUUAAGUAGCUUCUGGAACAUAAGGCGAAAACACUACCCCGGCCUAAUGUGACCUAAGGUGACAUCGCUGAUUAUGGAGUUUGUUUGUUUGUUUGUUUGUUUUAUUUCUUGUUAGUAAAACUUUGUUAUUUUAAGACAUUCUAUCAGCUAUUGAUAAAUUAAAUCUCAUACUAAUUCUCUGAUUAUCAAACCAAUGUCAGGGGUUGCUGAGUGGAUGUGGAGAAAAGGACUCAAACGCAGGACUCACGGUGAAGAUUCAGGGUGUUUAUUGUGAGGGACGAAUGACGAAAACAGGAGAUGGCUGACUGACUGAAUAACUGAAUGAACGGCUGACUGAUCUGAACUUGGAAGGCAAACAUGGGUCAUAGACAGCAGUGACAACAUCAAUGACGCGACGCCGACCAGGAGACAACUGAGGACUUAAAUACACUGGCUGAACAAUGACUGAUAGGUGACAGAACAAUGAGAUACACACAUGGACAGGAGGCUGAACAUGCUCAUGGGUGGCUCUUCAGCUGGACACACACAUGGCAGAUCCUGUGACCUUGUUACCGCCGUCGGACCGCAGCUAUUGGACUGCGAGGACGUGGCCGUGACGUGACUGUGGACUUUCAAAACAUCUGAUAGACCGUGUGCCUGUGUAUGUGUGUGUGUGUGUGUGUGUGUGUGUGUGUGUGUGUGUGUGUGUGUGUGUGUGUGUGUGUCAUUAGUAAAAAUAAAUAAAAUUAUAUAUAUUUUUGAAAUCCAUUUAAAGACAAUGUGAUGCUACUAUCUUUCUUACAUAAAUUGUGCCAGGGAAAUUACAUUUCCCUGGCACAAUUAAACAUUAAGUCUAUUGUUUUAAUGUUAAGAAAUUGCCUGCAUAUAUUUGUUGAAUAAACAGCCUUAUGUCAGAGCCUGUGUGUUGAUUAUUAUGUAUUAUUAUUUAAUUCAGCUAUGUGAUAUUGGCUGUGUUGAGGUUGCAGGAUGUAAAUCGGUAUUAAAAAAUAUUUUAAACAUGUGUUUUUUAAAGAUUACUUUGUAAAAGAUGAGAAUUUAACACGACAUUUGUAAAUGUAUUUUAUGUCUGCUGUAUGUAAGGGUGAUUGAGAGACAGCUAGUCACUAUACUCUUAAUUUUACCCUGUUUGAAGCUGUUACACAACUUGCUGCUCCUUCUCGUCAGUGUCACGUUGACUUCGAUCUCUUCUCUUCUGUCAAAGAAUACGAGCAGCUGCAUUAUGUCUACAAGCAAACAAUCUUAUUCGUAUACUUUUGUCCCUCUGCUGAGUACAUGACAGCCCUCGUUUUGUCUCGCAGACCUUUUAUUUGUCACAAUUUUACGUUUAAUUUGCGUGUGUGUGAGAGAGAGAGGAAGCAUGGCGGCAGAUGGGUGUGCUGGAGACUCCAAAAGCUGCUGCAAAUAGCCUUUCGGGGUCGGAGUUGGGGAAACAGAGCACAUACUGCCGAGCUUAAAAUCAUGGCAGUCUGUUCUUGUGAAACAUCUGGACUCUGUAAGCAUGACUGGCUCAUUUGUGUGUAUGAAAAUGUAGACAAAACAAUAAAAUAAAGCGACGGAACAUUCA